UACAGAGGGUGCGAGCGUUUGAUCGGAGUUACUGGGCGUAAAGGGCGCGUAGGCGGUUAUAUGAGUGUGCUGUGAAAGCCCCGGGCUUAACCUGGGAAGUGCAGUGCAACGAUAUAACUGGAGUAGAUGAGAGGGUGAUGGAAUUUCCGGUGUAGCGGUGAAAUGCGUAGAGAUCGGAAGGAACGUCAAUGGCGAAGGCAGUCACCUGGCAUCAUACUGAGCUGAGCGCGAAAGCGUGGGGAGCGAACAGG
RNAcentral lists this ribosomal RNA (251 nucleotides) under uncultured bacterium. RNAcentral describes it as "partial 16S ribosomal RNA". It matches the Rfam family "Bacterial small subunit ribosomal RNA", at positions 524 to 776 of the family's 1533-position model. The record is from RNAcentral.